CUCCGGUUGAUCCUGCCGGACCCGACUGCUAUCAGAGUGGGACUAAGCCAUGCGAGUCAACAUAGCAAUAUGUGGCAUACGGCUCAGUAACACGUAGUCAACAUGCCCAGGGGACGUGGAUAACCUCGGGAAACUGAGGAUAAACCGCGAUAGGUCAUCACUUCUGGAAUGGGUAAUGACUUAAAUCUAUAUGGCCCCUGGAUUGGACUGCGGCCGAUCAGGCUGUUGGUGAGGUAAUGGCCCACCAAACCUGUAACCGGUACGGGCUCUGAGAGGAGGAGCCCGGAGAUGGGCACUGAGACAAGGGCCCAGGCCCUAUGGGGCGCAGCAGGCGCGAAACCUCUGCAAUAGGCGAAAGCUUGACAGGGUUACUCUGAGUGAUUUCCGUUAAGGAGAUCUUUUGGCACCUCUAAAAAUGGUGCAGAAUAAGGGGUGGGCAAGUCUGGUGUCAGCCGCCGCGGUAAUACCAGCACCCCGAGUGGUCGGGACGUUUAUUGGGCCUAAAGCAUCCGUAGCCGGUUCUACAAGUCUUCCGUUAAAUCCACCUGCUUAACAGAUGGGCUGCGGAAGAUACUAUAGAGCUAGGAGGCGGGAGAGGCAAGCGGUACUCGAUGGGUAGGGGUAAAAUCCGUUGAUCCAUUGAAGACCACCAGUGGCGAAGGCGGCUUGCCAGAACGCGCUCGACGGUGAGGGAUGAAAGCUGGGGGAGCAAACCGGAUUAGAUACCCGGGUAGUCCCAGCUGUAAACGAUGCAGACUCGGUGAUGAGUUGGCUUAUUGCUAACUCAGUGCCGCAGGGAAGCCGUUAAGUUUGCCGCCUGGGGAGUACGGUCGCAAGACUGAAACUUAAAGGAAUUGGCGGGGGAGCA
Molecule: ribosomal RNA, 868 nt
Filed under: uncultured archaeon
Lineage: Archaea
Description: bacterial SSU rRNA
Rfam family: Archaeal small subunit ribosomal RNA
Source: RNAcentral